Molecule: ribosomal RNA, 733 nt
Filed under: Stutzerimonas stutzeri
Lineage: Bacteria; Pseudomonadati; Pseudomonadota; Gammaproteobacteria; Pseudomonadales; Pseudomonadaceae
Description: bacterial SSU rRNA
Rfam family: Bacterial small subunit ribosomal RNA
Source: RNAcentral
AGUCGAGCGGAUGAGUGGAGCUUGCUCCAUGAUUCAGCGGCGGACGGGUGAGUAAUGCCUAGGAAUCUGCCUGGUAGUGGGGGACAACGUUUCGAAAGGAACGCUAAUACCGCAUACGUCCUACGGGAGAAAGUGGGGGAUCUUCGGACCUCACGCUAUCAGAUGAGCCUAGGUCGGAUUAGCUAGUUGGUGAGGUAAAGGCUCACCAAGGCGACGAUCCGUAACUGGUCUGAGAGGAUGAUCAGUCACACUGGAACUGAGACACGGUCCAGACUCCUACGGGAGGCAGCAGUGGGGAAUAUUGGACAAUGGGCGAAAGCCUGAUCCAGCCAUGCCGCGUGUGUGAAGAAGGUCUUCGGAUUGUAAAGCACUUUAAGUUGGGAGGAAGGGCAGUAAGUUAAUACCUUGCUGUUUUGACGUUACCAACAGAAUAAGCACCGGCUAACUUCGUGCCAGCAGCCGCGGUAAUACGAAGGGUGCAAGCGUUAAUCGGAAUUACUGGGCGUAAAGCGCGCGUAUGUGGUUCGUUAAGUUGGAUGUGAAAGCCCCGGGCUCAACCUGGGAACUGCAUCCAAAACUGGCGAGCUAGAGUAUGGCAGAGGGUGGUGGAAUUUCCUGUGUAGCGGUGAAAUGCGUAGAUAUAGGAAGGAACACCAGUGGCGAACGCGACCACCUGGGCUAAUACUGACACUGAUGUGCGAAAGCGUUGGGGAGCAAACAGGAUUAGAUACCC